ACUCUGAGUGGUCUUGUUCUCGUUCUGACCUGCAUUUUCAUUGUUUUCGGUGUUGCUCUGAGCAGCAUUUUCAUUCGAAUUGUUGUCCUUUUGAGUAACAUAUGCAGUUGCAUUUUCAUUGUUGUCCGUGUUGCUCUGAUUGUCACUGCUGCAGA
This is a long non-coding RNA of Hibiscus syriacus, 155 nucleotides long. RefSeq lists it as uncharacterized. The record is from RefSeq and is a predicted model, not a curated record. Lineage: Eukaryota; Viridiplantae; Streptophyta; Magnoliopsida; Malvales; Malvaceae. The transcript is spliced from 3 exons.